This 119-nucleotide ribosomal RNA is filed under the name Betta splendens (Siamese fighting fish). Lineage: Eukaryota; Metazoa; Chordata; Actinopteri; Anabantiformes; Osphronemidae. The record is from RNAcentral.
GCUUACGGCCAUACCACCCUGAGCACGUCCGAUCUCCUCUGAUCUCGGAAGCUAAGCAGGAUUGGGCCUGGUUACUACUUGGAUGGGAGACCACCUGGGAAUACAAAGUGCUGUAAGCU